Molecule: long non-coding RNA, 2063 nt
Organism: Papaver somniferum (opium poppy)
Lineage: Eukaryota; Viridiplantae; Streptophyta; Magnoliopsida; Ranunculales; Papaveraceae
Exons: 8
Source: RefSeq, a predicted model, not a curated record
UCCUAAACUGCGUUCUCAAAUACACGAUAUGUUAGUUUGGCGGCCCUCUUACGCGAUGUCUUUUUAACAAAAUUGGGGAUCUCAUCUUCUACAAUCUAGGGAUUCAUCACUUUCUUCAAUCCUUAUAUCAUGAUCAAUUACUAUCUAUCUCUCUUGCUCUGAAAUUUUUUCUUUGAAAUCAAGCGAUCUUUCUAUCUUGGUCGUAAAGAAUCUAGCAUGUGAUGUUUUCUUCAAGGUCAGAUUGAACUACUCGUCUUUGAUAUUGAUUAUACCUCAUUUUGAUCAUCAAUCCACUAUUGAAAAUCCGCUUGAGCUUAUGCGACCAUAGUACGAUAUCAUUAUCUGGUCUACCACUAGACACUUGAAGUUACUGAGUUUGAUCUGAAAAGGCAGCUUGUAUAUGAGCUUGAUGUAAAUGUUUUGAGAUGUGUGCGUGAUCAGAAUGGGCCGGAAUCCUGUGAUACAACAUUGUAUCGACUGUGUUUCAACAUAGGAAAUUGGAUUCAUAAUUUUUGCAUUGCGUAUUCAAGGUGCAGCACCAUCUACAUAUCCUUAUGGUUGUUGUGUUAUUCAGCAGUAAAAACAAAUACUUUUGCAUGUCGAUCUUAUUUUCAUUUCACUUUUGAACAGUAACUGUUACGUUUUUCAUUCUUUGUUAUGCAUGUUUAUUUCUUCUGUCUUCAUGAAUCUACUUCACGUCUCUUGUUUCGGACAGUGGAGUACUCUACAACUUAGUCAGAUUAUAGUGGAGGAAAUUUUGGAAUUUAAACUUCAAGCUCGUCUAAGUGCAUUUCAGAGAGAUCUGGAGUUCGAGACUGCAACUGAAAAGAGCAAUACGAAGCCUCAUGAGUUGCUGGACAAAGAUGUUGUUUCACAAAUGCCUGAAUAACUAUUUAAUUAAAGGUUUGAGUUCAUCGAUGAACUUUCAGCAGGGGUCACGGGAAGCUUCCAUUCUUGCGGUCAGGUUUCAAAGUUUCAUGUUAUUGGUAGCCUUAGAAAGUUCCCCUGUUAGAUAGUUCAAUCCAAAGUUAUGUUUUGUCGACUUUCUAUAUAAUUUUUUUUUAGCUUUAGAAACAAGCGGAACUAUGUCGGCCAAUCAAAAAUCCUGUAUAUAUUUUUGUGCAUUUGUCGUUACUCAUAUGCUCCUGUUUUUGGUUUUUCCAAGUCUUAUAGAAACAUAUUAUCAUUUAAUCAUACAACGCGAAACUAAGACAUUGAUGUAUUCUCAUAUCUCAAAUAUAUAUACCAUAAUAAAGACACUUGUGCGUUUCUAGCUAGAUAUAACUAGCUCAGAGUUGCUCAUCUAUGAUUCGUGACCUGUUGACUUUAUAAUGAUUUCCGAGACUUAGUUUUACUCCAGAAAUGCACCGGAAGGCGAAGAACUAUUUCUAGACUCUUGCUCAUGUGGUCUUUGUAAAUCCUCUUACUUCUUGACAAGCCUAUUGUGCAUGCUCUUUACAGAGAACCUGAUCAGGAUGUUAGUUCACAUUGUGGUUUGUUAAUAUGCAACCCAAUUUAGGUCGGCAGCGUAUUAUGUUACCGGCAAUGAGACUUUCAACAAUUCAAUCGAUGUAUCAGUGAGAUUGACUGAGUGCAUAUUCACACUUCAGUUGAUAACCAAGUCAUUUAGAUCGAAAAACUACAAAAUUGGAAUAUGUAUGAGUUAAUGGAUAUGAAGUAUAAAGAUGUCAUGUCUGAUAGUUUUAGAGAGAUAGGGCCUUUCAACUAAAUUCUAUAGUGAGGUAUUCGGAAAAAGAGGAAAUCCGAAUGCUAUGAAGAAGAGAUCAUGGGUAAUAAACCACGUUCAAGAGUUGGUGACAUGAUUGUGUUGGUCCAAAUUUCGGUUCAAGCAUUGGUGAAGCAGGUGUGUUAGUCAAGAUUAGACUUUGAUCAACUUUACGAAAAAUGGAUAAUGUUUCUGAUUUCGUUGAUAUUUUCUUUUAGUCGGUACUAAGCAUACUGUUCUAUCAAGUAUAUAUAUUGAAUUAUGUAAAUUAUACCAUGCAUUAACUUCUAUUCAACUUAUUAUGUACUUCGGAUAUUUAUAAUUUUGAUGUUAUUUA